This 253-nucleotide ribosomal RNA is filed under the name uncultured bacterium. RNAcentral's name for it is "partial 16S ribosomal RNA". It matches the Rfam family "Bacterial small subunit ribosomal RNA", at positions 524 to 776 of the family's 1533-position model. The record is from RNAcentral.
UACGGAGGAUCCGAGCGUUAUCCGGAUUUAUUGGGUUUAAAGGGAGCGUAGGUGGAUUGUUAAGUCAGUUGUGAAAGUUUGCGGCUCAACCGUAAAAUUGCAGUUGAAACUGGCGGUCUUGAGUACAGUAGAGGUGGGCGGAAUUCGUGGUGUAGCGGUGAAAUGCUUAGAUAUCACGAAGAACUCCGAUUGCGAAGGCAGCUCACUGGACUGCAACUGACACUGAGGCUCGAAAGUGUGGGUAUCAAACAGG